This 251-nucleotide ribosomal RNA is filed under the name uncultured bacterium. RNAcentral's name for it is "partial 16S ribosomal RNA". It matches the Rfam family "Bacterial small subunit ribosomal RNA", at positions 103 to 354 of the family's 1533-position model. The record is from RNAcentral.
CGGGUGAGUAACGCGUGGGUAACCUGCCUCAUACAGGGGGAUAACAGUUAGAAAUGACUGCUAAUACCGCAUAAGCGCACAGGAUCGCAUGAUUCGGUGUGAAAAACUCCGGUGGUAUGAGAUGGACCCGCGUCUGAUUAGCUAGUUGGUGGGGUAAAGGCCUACCAAGGCGACGAUCAGUAGCCGACCUGAGAGGGUGAUCGGCCACAUUGGGACUGAGACACGGCCCAAACUCCUACGGGAGGCAGCAG